UGGGACCGAGCAGAACUCUGAC
RNAcentral lists this microRNA (22 nucleotides) under Oreochromis niloticus (Nile tilapia). Its description in RNAcentral is "oni-miR-10569". Lineage: Eukaryota; Metazoa; Chordata; Actinopteri; Cichliformes; Cichlidae. The record is from miRBase by way of RNAcentral.